Trichobilharzia regenti is the source of this 45-nucleotide non-coding RNA. NCBI's taxonomy places the organism in Eukaryota, Metazoa, Platyhelminthes, Trematoda, Strigeidida, Schistosomatidae. The record is from Rfam.
AUCCAGCUGACGAGUUCCAAAUAGGACGAAAUGCGCAUCCUGGAU